Molecule: long non-coding RNA, 5608 nt
Filed under: Sus scrofa (pig)
Lineage: Eukaryota; Metazoa; Chordata; Mammalia; Artiodactyla; Suidae
Description: lncRNA (ENSSSCG00000055335.1)
Source: RNAcentral
AUUGACAGCUAAUUCACUAAUCUCACCCCCCCCACACCCCAUCCAAUAUUGGUCAGUCCUUGUUUUGGAUUCACUUCCUUCCUUGUCUAGCCUGGAUCCCAUGAUCCAUCACUAUAAUCAUCCUCCUUGAAAUACAGUGCUCUCAGCAGUCUUAAACUUCAAAUCCUUCCAAUUUACUUUCCUGUAAAAUCCCAACUCUGGGUGACCUUACCAUCUGCCUUCCACUGGCCUCACCGGGACAGGUGGACAUUUUCUUUAAGAAAAUCACGCAACACAGCCAACUAGUUUUACUUUGAAUUUAUCAUCUCAAACAGGUGCUAUUGUUCCUACUGUAGUCUCAGUGUCCCACUUCUAAAAUGACUGUUUAUAGCUUUUCAUCUCCUCAAGCUUUUCAGAUCCUUUCCUUCCUGUUUACGUUUUCCUUUGGAAAAUAGAAGAUAUUAUGUAUAAACUUCAUCUUUCUGGCACAAGACCCAUCUAACCCCUAACCCAGCUCUCUUGGUAAUCAUCUUUCUGUGACUGGAGAAAGUUUCAAAGGCCAGCCCCUCCUCUUGUGCUCUAGAUCCCAAGGAGUCUUGCCUUGUCUCCCUAGGUUUUCCUCUUUAUUCUGCAUUAUCAAUCUCCGUCUUGAAAAAAUCAUUCUCAUCAGUCUGCAGACAUGCUCUAGCAUCCUCCAUCUUCACCAAACCUUCCCUUGUGCAUAUCUUUCCCACCCUUUAGCCAUUUCUUGGCUCUCUUUCAUAACCAGACCUCUUUAUGGAGUUAUCCUUAGCGAUUGUCUUCACUUUCUAAUCUCCUACUCACUUUCAAUUCAUAGUGAGACUUCCUCGCCGCCCCUCCUGAAUGCUGCUUUUCAAGUCACCAAGCACUUGCCUGUUGGCCUAUCCAAAAGGAUACUUCCUGUCGUCACAUUGACCACUCUGUGCUCCUUUAAAUUGUUCUCUCCUCACAUCCAAGACACUAUCCUGUCCUGGUUUUCUUCCCACUUCACUGUUCAUUCCUAGUGUUACGCUCUAUCUCCUGCCCAACUUGAGAAAGUUGAGGGUUUUCCCCUCCAUUGGAUCUCUCUUUUCUGUGUUCCUUCCUGGGGGGAUCUUAUCAGUUUCCAUGGGUUUAAGUGCUGGCUUUUUGCUAAUAAAUUACAAAUUUGUGUUUCCCACCUCAACUUUCCAUCUGAGUUCUAGAUGUACAUGUCUCAUUGCUUGCUUAACCUCUUCCCUUGAAUGACUCAGAUAUUUCAAACUUAACAUGUCCUGAAUCUAAUUCCUCAUUCUCACCCCAAAUCUGUUGCCCUCAUCUUCCCUAUUACAGGAAAUAGCACCUCCAUCCAACCAGUUGUUCAAGCCAGAAACCCAUGUGUCAUCCCUGAUUCUUUUCAUGACCUCUCCACUGCAUCAAAUAGGCCAGCAUAACCUGUUCAUUUCAUCCCUCAACUAUGUCUUUAAUCUGUCUUCUUUUCAUUUUCAAUGGCAUCACUUAAUCCAGGUCACUGUUUUUUCUCACCUGAUUACUGUGACAGAUAGCCUACCUGUUCUUCCUGCUCCCACUCUUGACUCAUGACCCACUUCAAUACAUUCUUGACUUAGUGGCAACCAUGACCUUAUUCCUAAAUUGAACUGAGUAAAUUGUAGGAUAAAAUCUAAACGCUUUACCAUCACUCACAGAGUCCUACACAGUCUGACCCCUACCUGUCACUCCGACUCUAUUGACGCGCCUCUCUAUUGCCCACUAUGGUGAAGACACACUGGUUCCUCCAGUUUACCAAGACCUUUUAUGCACCUCAGGGGAUUAGUAAAUGCUAUUAUCUCUGCUCUCCUUGGCUUUCCCCCCACAACAACCACUUACAUAACUGCUUAAAAAUGCAUCUUAAGAAAGGCCUGCCCAGAGCAUUGUUUGGAAAUAGUCCUCACCUCUCUCCUCCCAUUUGCUCUCUUCUUUUUUUCUUGGAAUUUCUUAUCUCAAUUGUAACUCUAUGUAUUUGUUUAUUUACUUUGUGUAAAAAAAGAUAAUAAUAAUAAGGGUGUGUUUCCUAUACUGGAAUGAAUGAAAGAAGAAACUGUGUCUGGAUGUCUAGAUUCUUCAACACUCUAUUCCCAGCCCCUAGCAUAAUACCUGGCACAAAUUAGGUGAAUAAUAAAUAAUUGUUGAAGGAAUACAUGCACACAUUUGCUUAUUUUUCUGUUGGGAGUUCACUUUUCAUUGAAUGAUAAGAGCUCUUUAUAUGUUAAAACUAGCAACCAUUUGUUUAUUUCAUAUGCUGCAGAAAUUUCGUCCCUGGUCAUGUAUGUAUCAAUUUAAUUCAUGAUGUCUGAUAUACAGAAAUAUAUUUUUUAUUUAGAUAAAUUUAUCUUUUCUUUCAUGAUUUCUCCUUUUGGUGAUAUGUUUGAAAAGAUCUCCAUGUCAGUGUUGUAUAAAUAUUUGUCUAUUUUUUUUCUUUUAAUUUUUUUAGACUGAAAUCUUUACUCCAAAUGGAAUUUAUUUUUGAUAUAGAUGUGAUUAAGGCUUUAAAUAUUUAUUUAGCUGUUACAUCAUCACUUAUUGAAAAUUCCCUCUAACAUUGUUUUGAAAAUUCCACACAUAUCAAAGAUUAAAUUCUUACAUGUACUUGGAGUGGUUUCUGGAUUUAUUAUUUGUUUAUUUGUUUUGGGAGGGUUUGGUAUCCUUCUCUAUUCCUUAACCAUGCUGUUGUAAUUAUUCUCAUUUUGCAAUUUGUUUUAUUGUGCGAUUAACUCUUUUUUUGUUUGUUUGUUUUUGUUUUCUUUUUGUCUUUUAGGGCCGCCCCCACGGCCUAUGGAGGGUCCCAGGCCAGGGGUCAGGGGUCACAUCGGAGCUGUAGCCACCGGCCUAUGCCAGAGCCACAGCAGCAUGGGAUCUGAGCUGCAUCUGUAACCCACACCACAGCUUAUGGCAACUCCAGAUCCUUAACCCACUGAGAGAGGCCAGGGAUGGAUCCUGCAUCCUCAUGGAUGCUAGUUGGGUUCAUUAACCGCUGAGCCAUGAUGGGAACUCCUGUGAUUAACUUUUUAAUGGGGUAAAUGUUAGUCUUCUUUUUCAAAAUAUUUUCACUUAUAUUUGUGCAUUUAUUCUUCCAGAUAAACUUUAGCUAUAUUUUAGUCAGUUUCCAAAAGAAAUUCUAUUCUAAAGCAUUUUGUUUGGAAUUGCUUUAACAUUAUAGACUAAUUGUGGGAGAAUUGCUGUUUUUGUAAUGUUAAUUUUUUCAUUCAGGAACUUGUCACAUGCCAAGGUUAUUGAAGGAUUUCUAUAUAAUUCUCAGUAAUUUUGUAGGCCCUGCAUAUUUCUUGUUAAUUAUAUUAUUAGAUAUUUCAUAUCUUUGUUGAGAUCAUUUUCUCUUUAUGUUUUAUAACUAGUUUCUCCUUGUUGGGUCAAGCUAUUGAUUUCUACAUUAGGUAACUUUUCUGAACUCUUUCAUUAAUUGUUUUAGUUGAUUCUAAGUAGACGAUCAUUUGAAGUAUAAUGGUAAUUUUCUCUCUUUAUAAUAUUAAUAUCUCAUAUUUUAAAUAAAUGAUGGUAUUAAUUUUGCUUUUAUUCCAGACUUUUUAAGAAUACCAUUAAUAUUUCACCAGCUUUUAAGAUUAGCUGUUUGAAUGAAAUAGAGUUCUUUAUCAGGCUAAGGAAGUGGUUUCCUGGUUCAAGUAUACUAAGCAUUUUAUUGAAAGUUGUUGUUGAAUUACAUUAAACAUAUUUUGGGCAACUAGAGAUAAUCAUGUGGUCUAUUAUUAUAAUAAAUUAUAUUAAUAGAUUUCCCAAUAUUGGGUUAUUUCUGCAUGAGAUGCAUCCUAUUUCAUCAUGGUGGGUUUUUUUUUUUCUUUUUUUUCCUCUUUCAGUAUAAUACAGUUGAAUUCAGCUCUUUUUCUUUUAUUUAGGGUAAUUGCCUCUAUAUUCAUAAGUAAGAUUGGACUGUAGUUUUACAUUUUAAAAUUCUAUCUUAAACAACAUCCAAAAAAAUCCUGUUCUAUGCUCUAGAUUAGUAGAGUGUAGGACUUGCCUAUUUUUUGAAGGUUUGGAGGAGCUCACCAAUAGCACUGCAUAGGUUCCAAGCUUUUUUCAGAGUGAGUGGAAGAUAAUUCUCAAAAAAAUUAAAAUUUUCUUCUAUAGUUUUGGCAUACACAGGUUAACUACUGUUUCCUGAGUAUCAAUUUAAAAAAAUAACAUUUCUAAAGAAAAUCAUGCAUUUUUGUAGAAUUUAAAAAUUUGUUAGCAAUCUUCCACAUAUAAUCUUUUUUUUUUUUUUUUUUUUUGUCCUUUUUGCCAUUUCUUGGGCCGCUCCCUCAGCAUAUGGAGGUUCCCAGGCUAGGGGUUGAAUUGGAGCUGUAGCUGACAGCCUACACUAGAGCCACAGCAAUGCGGGAUCCAAGACGCGUCUGCAACCUACACCACAGCUCACGGCAACGCCAGAUCCUUAACUCACUGAGCAAGGCCAGGGAUUGAACCCGCAACCUCAUGGUUCCUAGCCAGAUUCCUUAACCACUGAGCCACAACGGAAACUCCACCAUAUAAUCUUAUAAUUAAAAAUAUUUUUCUCAGAGUUCUCUUGUGGUGCUGUGGGUCAAGGAUCCAGCAUUAUCACUGCAGCAGCUUGGGUUUCUGUUGUGGUGUGGGUUUGAUUUCUGGCCUGGGAAUUUCCACAUGCCAUGGGUGCCACAAAAUUUUUUUUUAUGUAUUUAUAGUUAUAGCUUUUUUCUCAUUUCUAAUCUUUUCAGUUGCAUUUUUCUUUUAUUAGAUUUGUUACUCUUUUCUACUUUCCACUUCACUAAUAUAACUUUUAAUCUUUUAAAAUUCCUUCUUUCUUCUUCUCAAGUUUAUUUUGUUGUUUUCUGAAUUUUUCCUUGUAAUUAAUCACCUGGGUAAUUGAUUUUUUUUUCUUUCUUAUUUAAUAAUAGGACACAUACAACUAUGUAUUUACCUCUGAGCACAGCUUUGACUGCAUUCUCAACAGUUGUUUGGUAUGUAGUUUCUUAAUUGUUGCUAUUUAAAAAUAAUGGACUAUAAUUGCUGUUUUUAUUUCAUUUUGGACUGGUGUUUAGGCUAGUCUUGUGAGGUUUUUGUUAUUGUUAAUCCUGAUUUCUCCUUAAUAAAGAAUAAAUUUAUUAAUACUUAUGCUGCUAUUUUAAUAAGAGCUAGUUUUAUUUGUGAAAUAAUCUGUGAAGUUGUAUUAUCUGAAGUUACAUGCAGGCAUUAUCUAGAGUUCCUCAUUAUGACAGCCUACCAAUAGUGCUAAAUAUACUGAUUACUGACAAUAGGUAUUUGGUGUACCACUAGUGUCAAUAAUUUAAUGGAAUUGUGAUUUCUAUAUAAUAUUCUAGUAACUCAUGUGAAAGUCAAAACAGAGCUUAAAAAAUGUUUAUUGCUUCAAAAAUCCUCAGGUAACAUGGAAAUUAAAUGAUCAUUUAAUAAUCAGAAAAACUCUAUCAAAGUUUAUGAAAUCAGAAAGGAUUUGAAAAUUGUGAACAGGAAGUUUGCCACAAAAUUUGGGCAUUGGAAUAAUUUUUCUCUUAGAUUUGGAAAGACUCAUUUUAAAAAAGAUUUAUUUUUAUACUUACAAAUGUAAUUCAUGUACAUAAAUAAAAUAAAAAUUACCUGUAACUGC